RNAcentral lists this transfer RNA (84 nucleotides) under Cytophagales bacterium. RNAcentral's name for it is "tRNA-Leu". It matches the Rfam family "tRNA". Rfam says of the family: Transfer RNA (tRNA) molecules are approximately 80 nucleotides in length. Their secondary structure includes four short double-helical elements and three loops (D, anti-codon, and T loops). The record is from RNAcentral. Lineage: Bacteria; Pseudomonadati; Bacteroidota; Cytophagia; Cytophagales.
GCGUGUGUGUUGAAAUUGGUAGACAAGCUACUUUGAGGUGGUAGUGCUGUUUUUGGCGUAAGAGUUCGAGUCUCUUCAUACGCA